AUGAGGGGGUUUAAUGAUAAAUGGUGUGGAUGGAUUAAAAAGAUCCUGAAUGAUGGCACGGUGAGUAUCAAGUUGAAUAACGAAACUGGACCUUAUUUUGUGAGUCGCAAAGGGGUUCGCCAGGGCGACCCCCACUCACCUUUUUUGUUCAAUCUAGCGGUUGAGUGCCUCUCGAAGAUGAUCUUCAAUGCUCAAAAGGAAAAAUUGAUCACUGGCUUAGCCCCUGAUCUUAUUGAGGGGGGAGUUGCUGUGUUGCAAUACGCAGAUGAUACGGUGUUAUGCUUCGAGCAUGACACAUCUGCUGCAAUCAACCUCAAAUUGCUUCUUUACAUGUUUGAGCUCAUGUCAGGCUUGAAAAUUAACUACCUUAAGAGCGAAAUCCUGUGUGUAGGGGGUGAUGACAAUAUCCUUAGUUACUAUGCAGAGCUCUUCAACUGCCAAAUUGGUCAUUUUCCUAUGCGUUACUUAGGAGUACCAGUUAGUUUCUCCUCUUUAAGAUGCCUGGAGUGGAUUUUUGUUGAUGACAAAUUUGGCAAGUGCUGUGAGGCCUGGAUAGGCAAUGCUGCUUCAUCGGGUGGCAGACUUACGCUGCUGAACUCCUCCUUGUCCAGUAUAGUCUAUUACUAUAUGGCUAUGUUCCUUCUCCCUAAAACUUUCAUUGAAAAAUUG
RNAcentral lists this ribosomal RNA (669 nucleotides) under Triticum aestivum (bread wheat). RNAcentral describes it as "partial small subunit ribosomal RNA". Lineage: Eukaryota; Viridiplantae; Streptophyta; Magnoliopsida; Poales; Poaceae. The record is from RNAcentral.